GAUGAAGAACGUAGCGAAAUGCGAUAAGUAAUGUGAAUUGCAGAAUUCAGUGAAUCAUCGAAUCUUUGAACGCACAUUGCGCCCCCUGGUAUUCCGGGGGGCAUGCCUGUCCGAGCGUCAUUGCUGCCCUCAAGCACGGCUUGUGUGUUGGGCCUCCGUCCUCCUCCCGGGGGACGGGCCCGAAAGGCAGCGGCGGCACCGCGUCCGGUCCUCGAGCGUAUGGGGCUUCGUCACCCGCUCUUGUAGGCCCGGCCGGCGCUUGCCGACACAUCAAUCUUUUUUCCAGGUUGACCUCGGAUCAGGUAGGGGUACCCGCUGAACUUAAGCAUAUCAAUAAGCGGAGGA
Molecule: unclassified non-coding RNA, 345 nt
Filed under: soil metagenome
Description: partial contains 5.8S ribosomal RNA, internal transcribed spacer 2, and large subunit ribosomal RNA
Rfam family: 5.8S ribosomal RNA (bases 1-120)
Source: RNAcentral